RNAcentral lists this ribosomal RNA (487 nucleotides) under uncultured bacterium. RNAcentral describes it as "partial 16S ribosomal RNA". It matches the Rfam family "Bacterial small subunit ribosomal RNA", at positions 30 to 507 of the family's 1533-position model. The record is from RNAcentral.
AGUGAACGCUGGCGGUAGGCCUAACACAUGCAAGUCGAACGGCAGCACAGUAAGAGCUUGCUCUUACGGGUGGCGAGUGGCGGACGGGUGAGGAAUACAUCGGAAUCUACUUUUUCGUGGGGGAUAACGUAGGGAAACUUACGCUAAUACCGCAUACGACCUACGGGUGAAAGCAGGGGAUCUUCGGACCUUGCGCGAUUGAAUGAGCCGAUGUCGGAUUAGCUGGUUGGCGGGGUAAAGGCCCACCAAGGCGACGAUCCGUAGCUGGUCUGAGAGGGUGGGGGGCGACAGUGGGACUGAGAUACGGCCGAGACGCCUGAGCGAGGCAGCAGGGGGGGGGAUUGCACAAUGGGCGGAAGCGUGAUGCAGCGACGUCGGGUGAGGGAGGGAGGCCGUCGGGUUGGGAACCUCUGUUUCCGGUGGUGAAGGCACUGUCCGUGUGGUGGGGUUGACGGUAGCCGGGGAUGAAGCGCCGGCUAACUACGUG